RNAcentral lists this ribosomal RNA (286 nucleotides) under Pseudomonas aeruginosa. RNAcentral's name for it is "partial 23S ribosomal RNA". It matches the Rfam family "Bacterial large subunit ribosomal RNA", at positions 2659 to 2925 of the family's 2925-position model. Lineage: Bacteria; Pseudomonadati; Pseudomonadota; Gammaproteobacteria; Pseudomonadales; Pseudomonadaceae. The record is from RNAcentral.
GAUUUGAGAGGGGCUGCUCCUAGUACGAGAGGACCGGAGUGGACGAACCUCUGGUGUUCCGGUUGUCACGCCAGUGGCAUUGCCGGGUAGCUAUGUUCGGAAAAGAUAACCGCUGAAAGCAUCUAAGCGGGAAACUUGCCUCAAGAUGAGAUCUCACUGGGAACUUGAUUCCCCUGAAGGGCCGUCGAAGACUACGACGUUGAUAGGCUGGGUGUGUAAGCGUUGUGAGGCGUUGAGCUAACCAGUACUAAUUGCCCGUGAGGCUUGACCAUAUAACACCCAAACA